RNAcentral lists this ribosomal RNA (253 nucleotides) under uncultured bacterium. Its description in RNAcentral is "partial 16S ribosomal RNA". It matches the Rfam family "Bacterial small subunit ribosomal RNA", at positions 524 to 776 of the family's 1533-position model. The record is from RNAcentral.
GACAGAGGUGCCAAGCGUUAGGCGGAAUCACUGGGCUUAAAGCGUGUGUAGGCGGAAUUGUAAGUACCUUGUGAAAUCCCCCGGCUCAACCGGGGAACUGCCGCGGAUACUGGAGGUCUCGAGGGGGGUAGGGGCAUGCGGAACUGCGGGUGGAGCGGUGAAAUGCGUUGAUAUCCGCAGGAACUCCGGUGGCGAAGGCGGCGUGCUGGACCGUUUCUGACGCUGAGGAGCGAAAGCCAGGGGAGCGAACGGG